Molecule: small nuclear RNA, 103 nt
Filed under: Triticum dicoccoides
Lineage: Eukaryota; Viridiplantae; Streptophyta; Magnoliopsida; Poales; Poaceae
Source: RNAcentral
GUCCCUUCGGGGACAUCCGAUAAAAUUGUAACGAUACAGAGAAGAUUAGCAUGGCCCCUGCGCAAGGAUGACAUGCACAAAUCGAGAAAUGGUUCAAUUUUUU